ACCCCCGUAGCUCAGCGAACAGAGUGUCCGGCUACGAACCGGAAGGUCGGGAGUUUGAAUCUCUCCGGGGGUGCCA
RNAcentral lists this transfer RNA (76 nucleotides) under Gammaproteobacteria bacterium HGW-Gammaproteobacteria-1. RNAcentral describes it as "tRNA-Arg". It matches the Rfam family "tRNA". Rfam says of the family: Transfer RNA (tRNA) molecules are approximately 80 nucleotides in length. Lineage: Bacteria; Pseudomonadati; Pseudomonadota; Gammaproteobacteria. The record is from RNAcentral.